AUGGACUCCUUUCUUCUCCUAUUCACAUUGCUUUAUCUAAAAGAUUUCAGUGACGGUGUUCUGAUCACUCAGUGGCCGAAGUACAUAUCCAGUCCCCCGGAAACUUCAGUUGAAAUGCACUGUUACCAAAAUGAUACAGACUAUGACUACAAAUACUGGUACAGACAAAUAAGAGGUGAAGGACUAGUGCUUAUUGGGAGCUACAAUUUUAACUCUCCCUCUAGUGAGAAGGGUUUUGAGACCGGCUUCACAAUGUCAGGUACAGAGACAAAGAAAUGGACCCUGACGGUUGAUGUUAAGGAGGGGAUCGAUGCUGUGUAUCUGUGUGCUGCUAGUUUACACAGUGAAUAA
Molecule: non-coding RNA, 351 nt
Organism: Cyprinus carpio (common carp)
Lineage: Eukaryota; Metazoa; Chordata; Actinopteri; Cypriniformes; Cyprinidae
Source: the annotation of a RefSeq genome assembly